This 74-nucleotide transfer RNA is filed under the name Kibdelosporangium phytohabitans. Its description in RNAcentral is "Kibdelosporangium sp. KLBMP 1111 tRNA". It matches the Rfam family "tRNA". From Rfam's summary of the family: Transfer RNA (tRNA) molecules are approximately 80 nucleotides in length. Their secondary structure includes four short double-helical elements and three loops (D, anti-codon, and T loops). Lineage: Bacteria; Bacillati; Actinomycetota; Actinomycetes; Pseudonocardiales; Pseudonocardiaceae. The record is from Rfam by way of RNAcentral.
GUCCUUGUAGCUCAGCUGGAUAGAGCGCAGCGCUACGAACGCUGAGGUCCGGGGUUCGAAUCCCUGCGAGGACG